GAUGAACGCUGGCGGCGUGCCUAAUACAUGCAAGUCGAGCGAACGGACGAGAAGCUUGCUUCUCUGAUGUUAGCGGCGGACGGGUGAGUAACACGUGGAUAACCUACCUAUAAGACUGGGAUAACUUCGGGAAACCGGAGCUAAUACCGGAUAAUAUUUUGAACCGCAUGGUUCAAAAGUGAAAGACGGUCUUGCUGUCACUUAUAGAUGGAUCCGCGCUGCAUUAGCUAGUUGGUAAGGUAACGGCUUACCAAGGCAACGAUGCAUAGCCGACCUGAGAGGGUGAUCGGCCACACUGGAACUGAGACACGGUCCAGACUCCUACGGGAGGCAGCAGUAGGGAAUCUUCCGCAAUGGGCGAAAGCCUGACGGAGCAACGCCGCGUGAGUGAUGAAGGUCUUCGGAUCGUAAAACUCUGUUAUUAGGGAAGAACAUAUGGUAAGUAACUGUGCACAUCUGGACGGUACCUAAUCAGAAAGCCACGGCUAACUACGU
Molecule: ribosomal RNA, 495 nt
Filed under: uncultured bacterium
Lineage: Bacteria
Description: partial 16S ribosomal RNA
Rfam family: Bacterial small subunit ribosomal RNA
Source: RNAcentral